CCGUAAAGCUUAAAGCCAGGGGACUGGCUGGGACUUCCCCGGCGUCCCUUGCGCGGCGGCGGCAGCCACGUGACUACCCGCCAGGCCUCCUGGAGCUCCUGGCCGCUUGCCAACUCGCAUACGGCUCCCCGGGAAGACGCCAGGGGUGUGGCUCUGUCGCGCGCCUGGAGCCUCACGUUCGGCUAUCAGCUGCCAUAGGUCAGGUGGCACAAUGAACGUGCUGGAUUACGAGGAAAUUAACCCUACAAGUUAACCAGGCAGCUGCAUAUGUUGGCAUGAUUGAUGAGAUCUGCUACAGUCAAGCAAGCAGCCCUGGGUGACCAGUUUACCCUUCCCCGCUAGGGUUCCAGCUGCCAGUUGCCCCCAUUCUGUGACAGCUUCUCCUUCUUCUCACCUUGUCAUCGAGCCAAGAUUGUACACUGUAGGAGAACAGUGACCUAGACGACUAUGUUUGUUCACCUUUGCCUUCAUCUCUGACCUCAACUCAGGCCACAAGAGGAGAAGAAAUACAGGAAUUAUUCUGUGUGGCUGGGGCCCUACCAUCUUCAUGUACAUCUAGUGGGUGUGAGGGCAUCCAAUAUAGUGACACAUUUCCCCACUUAUGUUCUGAAACAACUCAACCAGGUAGGUAAGUAAAGAGC
Acinonyx jubatus (cheetah) is the source of this 641-nucleotide long non-coding RNA. RefSeq lists it as uncharacterized. Lineage: Eukaryota; Metazoa; Chordata; Mammalia; Carnivora; Felidae. The transcript is spliced from 4 exons. The record is from RefSeq and is a predicted model, not a curated record.